GAAUCCAACUAUGCUCGAAGCUAAAUCUAUCCCUGAACUUUUCAGCAAUGGGAGCCCAUUGAUUCCACUGUUGUUAUUUUUGUUGAAGGCAAUAUGAUUUCUAUUUCUGAUCUGGGCAACCAACCCAUCCAUCUUCCAAACCCAACCAAGGCAUUUUUCUCUGAAGUCUUUUUUUUUUCUUUGCACUGGUCUGGGAGUCAGCAGGUUUUAUAGCAGGUUCAGAUUUGCCAUCAGCACUACCAUGUCCUGUGAUCAAAGUCAAUGGAAAAAGAACCCAAUUCUGGCAGGACUACCAAUGUAUUCGGUUGGUGGAAAAGUAAUCGUGGUUUUUGCCAUUGAAAGUAACACCCCAGACUCUUCAGGAGUGAGGGUUUGGGUCACCCUGUUACCGGAAAGCGGUCCCAAUCCAGACCCCAAGAGAGAGUUCUUGGAUCUCACACAAGAGAAUUCAGGGGAACUAAACUCUAAACGAAGUGAAAUAAAGUUGGAGAGAACUUUAACCUCGCUGCCAUGGAAACCACAUUUCUCACUCAUGGGGCAAGGAGGGUUUAUGUGAGGAUUUCCUGAGUUGAUAAGGUAUCUGGACAUUGGCAAUUCCAGGUAUUUGAUUGACAAGCAGGAAAUCGUAAGGAUUUCCUAAGAUUGACUAGCCGA
Molecule: long non-coding RNA, 654 nt
Organism: Symphalangus syndactylus (siamang)
Lineage: Eukaryota; Metazoa; Chordata; Mammalia; Primates; Hylobatidae
Source: RefSeq, a predicted model, not a curated record